Long non-coding RNA from Apis dorsata (giant honeybee), 535 nucleotides. RefSeq lists it as uncharacterized. The transcript is spliced from 2 exons. The record is from RefSeq and is a predicted model, not a curated record. NCBI's taxonomy places the organism in Eukaryota, Metazoa, Arthropoda, Insecta, Hymenoptera, Apidae.
AGAUAGAAGGAAUUGUUUUUAGAAAGAUAGAGAGAUACAGAAAAAGAAGAAAUAGAAGGGAUGAAGAAAUCUUGUUUGGAAAUGAUGAUGGCCAAUGUGAUUGUGAAGAGGAAGAUUUUAUAUUGUAUAAAGUGAGGAAUAGGAUAAAGUUAAGAGAAUUAAAUAUCAAGAGAGAAUAGAGAAUGAUGAAUAAGAGGAUGAAAAAGACUUGGUACAAGGAUAAUGAUGAUCAAUUUGAUUGCAAGAAGAUUGAUAUUGUAAUAAAUGAAAAGAUAUAUAGGAUUGUAAAAGAAGAAAUAAAGAGUGCAUAAUAUAGAGAUGAAGAAAUUGCAUCAUAUUUCUAUGUUAUUAACUUUAAGUGUAACAUUAAUCACACAAAAAGCACAUUAAUCAAGAAACUUACACGUGCUCAAAGUGAUGAUAGUUCGACAAACAUACUCCCAGAAGAUUUUCCUCUUCUGUAUCUUUUGAUCCAGAUAAGUAUUCCAAAUAAUAUCGACUGGAACAUAUCCUUGAAGAGCAUGCGUAAUAAAAA